AUUAUUUAGAAAAGCAUAUUGUAAGUAUAUAUAGUAUAUGAAAACAAAAAAUUGUGGCGGUAUUUUAAGCUUUUCAGAGGAAUUUGCUCUUUAAUGGAUAAAACACCAAAAUCUUACUAAAAUUAGUCAAGCAGUUUGUAUACCACUAUUUAAGUAAUAAUUCGUAAUUAUUACUAUAAUUUAAUAUAUAAAAAAAGUUAAGUCAAGGUGCAGCAAAAAUUUUAGAAUGAAGUGAAUUACAUUUCUUUUAAGAGGGAAUAAAUGAAAUAAAAAAUUUAGGAUUUGAGAGUAAAAUUUUAAUAAAAUGAAAAUUUGAAUUAAGCUCUAAAAUAUGUAC
This 337-nucleotide ribosomal RNA is filed under the name Haemaphysalis flava. RNAcentral describes it as "partial small subunit ribosomal RNA". Lineage: Eukaryota; Metazoa; Arthropoda; Arachnida; Ixodida; Ixodidae. The record is from RNAcentral.